AACGAACGCUGGCGGCAUGCCUAACACAUGCAAGUCGAACGAGACCUUCGGGUCUAGUGGCGCACGGGUUCGUAACGCGUGGGAACCUGCCCUUAGGUUCGGACUAACUCCCCGAAAGGGGUGCUAAUACCGGAUAAUGUCUUCGGACCAAAGAUUUAUCGACUUUGGAUGGACCCGCGUUGGAUUAGCUAGUUGGUAGGGUAAAAGCCUACCAAGGCGACGAUCCAUAGCUGGGCUGAGAGGAUGAUCAGCCACACUGGGACUGAGACACGGCCCAGACUCCUACGGGAGGCAGCAGUGGGUAAUAGUGGACAAUGGGCGAAGGCCUGAUCCAGCAAUGCCGCGUGAGUGAUGAAGGCCGUAGGGUUGUAAAGCUCUUUUACCCGGGAUGAUAAUGACAGUACCGGGAGAAUAAGCUCCGGCUAACUCCGUG
This 433-nucleotide ribosomal RNA is filed under the name uncultured bacterium. RNAcentral describes it as "partial 16S ribosomal RNA". It matches the Rfam family "Bacterial small subunit ribosomal RNA", at positions 29 to 507 of the family's 1533-position model. The record is from RNAcentral.